RNAcentral lists this ribosomal RNA (1129 nucleotides) under Escherichia coli. RNAcentral describes it as "partial 23S ribosomal RNA". It matches the Rfam family "Bacterial large subunit ribosomal RNA", at positions 717 to 1829 of the family's 2925-position model. The record is from RNAcentral. Lineage: Bacteria; Pseudomonadati; Pseudomonadota; Gammaproteobacteria; Enterobacterales; Enterobacteriaceae.
GAAACCCGGUGAUCUAGCCAUGGGCAGGUUGAAGGUUGGGUAACACUAACUGGAGGACCGAACCGACUAAUGUUGAAAAAUUAGCGGAUGACUUGUGGCUGGGGGUGAAAGGCCAAUCAAACCGGGAGAUAGCUGGUUCUCCCCGAAAGCUAUUUAGGUAGCGCCUCGUGAAUUCAUCUCCGGGGGUAGAGCACUGUUUCGGCAAGGGGGUCAUCCCGACUUACCAACCCGAUGCAAACUGCGAAUACCGGAGAAUGUUAUCACGGGAGACACACGGCGGGUGCUAACGUCCGUCGUGAAGAGGGAAACAACCCAGACCGCCAGCUAAGGUCCCAAAGUCAUGGUUAAGUGGGAAACGAUGUGGGAAGGCCCAGACAGCCAGGAUGUUGGCUUAGAAGCAGCCAUCAUUUAAAGAAAGCGUAAUAGCUCACUGGUCGAGUCGGCCUGCGCGGAAGAUGUAACGGGGCUAAACCAUGCACCGAAGCUGCGGCAGCGACACUAUGUGUUGUUGGGUAGGGGAGCGUUCUGUAAGCCUGUGAAGGUGGCCUGUGAGGGUUGCUGGAGGUAUCAGAAGUGCGAAUGCUGACAUAAGUAACGAUAAAGCGGGUGAAAAGCCCGCUCGCCGGAAGACCAAGGGUUCCUGUCCAACGUUAAUCGGGGCAGGGUGAGUCGACCCCUAAGGCGAGGCCGAAAGGCGUAGUCGAUGGGAAACAGGUUAAUAUUCCUGUACUUGGUGUUACUGCGAAGGGGGGACGGAGAAGGCUAUGUUGGCCGGGCGACGGUUGUCCCGGUUUAAGCGUGUAGGCUGGUUUUCCAGGCAAAUCCGGAAAACCAAGGCUGAGGCGUGAUGACGAGGCACUACGGUGCUGAAGCGACAAAUGCCCUGCUUCCAGGAAAAGCCUCUAAGCAUCAGGUAACAUCAAAUCGUACCCCAAACCGACACAGGUGGUCAGGUAGAGAAUACCAAGGCGCUUGAGAGAACUCGGGUGAAGGAACUAGGCAAAAUGGUGCCGUAACUUCGGGAGAAGGCACGCUGAUAUGUAGGUGAAGCGACUUGCUCGUGGAGCUGAAAUCAGUCGAAGAUACCAGCUGGCUGCAACUGUUUAUUAAAAACACAGCACUGUGCAAA